This is a transfer RNA of Streptomyces sp. NRRL F-4489, 71 nucleotides long. It matches the Rfam family "tRNA". From Rfam's summary of the family: Transfer RNA (tRNA) molecules are approximately 80 nucleotides in length. Their secondary structure includes four short double-helical elements and three loops (D, anti-codon, and T loops). Further hydrogen bonds mediate the characteristic L-shaped molecular structure. tRNAs have two regions of fundamental functional importance: the anti-codon, which is responsible for specific mRNA codon recognition, and the 3' end, to which the tRNAs corresponding amino acid is attached (by aminoacyl-tRNA synthetases). tRNAs cope with the degeneracy of the genetic code in two manners: having more than one tRNA (with a specific anti-codon) for a particular amino acid; and 'wobble' base-pairing, i.e. permitting non-standard base-pairing at the 3rd anti-codon position. Lineage: Bacteria; Bacillati; Actinomycetota; Actinomycetes; Kitasatosporales; Streptomycetaceae. The record is from Rfam.
GGCCGUGUGCCCGAGUGGUGAGGGGGCCGCCUGCAAAGCGGCUUACAUUGGUUCAAUUCCAAUCACGGCCU